UACGGAGGAUGCGAGCGUUAUCCGGAUUUAUUGGGUUUAAAGGGUGCGUAGGCGGGCUGUUAAGUCAGCGGUCAAAUGUCGGGGCUCAACCCCGGCCUGCCGUUGAAACUGGCGGCCUCGAGUGGGCGAGAAGUAUGCGGAAUGCGUGGUGUAGCGGUGAAAUGCAUAGAUAUCACGCAGAACUCCGAUUGCGAAGGCAGCAUACCGGCGCCCGACUGACGCUGAGGCACGAAAGCGUGGGUAUCGAACGGG
Molecule: ribosomal RNA, 252 nt
Filed under: uncultured bacterium
Lineage: Bacteria
Description: partial 16S ribosomal RNA
Rfam family: Bacterial small subunit ribosomal RNA
Source: RNAcentral